UACGGGGGGGGCAAGCGUUGUUCGGAAUUACUGGGCGUAAAGGGCUCGUAGGCGGCCAACUAAGUCAGACGUGAAAUCCCUCGGCUUAACCGGGGAACUGCAUCUGAUACUGGAUGGCUUGAGAUUGGGAGAGGGAUGCGGAAUUCCAGGUGUAGCGGUGAAAUGCGUAGAUAUCUGGAGGAACACCGGUGGCGAAGGCGGCAUCCUGGACCAACACUGACGCUGAGGAGCGAAAGCCAGGAGAGCAAACGGG
Molecule: ribosomal RNA, 253 nt
Filed under: uncultured bacterium
Lineage: Bacteria
Description: partial 16S ribosomal RNA
Rfam family: Bacterial small subunit ribosomal RNA
Source: RNAcentral